Molecule: ribosomal RNA, 463 nt
Filed under: uncultured bacterium
Lineage: Bacteria
Description: partial 16S ribosomal RNA
Rfam family: Bacterial small subunit ribosomal RNA
Source: RNAcentral
GAUGAACGCUGACAGAAUGCUUAACACAUGCAAGUCGAGGGGGAAGUGGUGCUUGCACCAUGGCAACCAUGGCGGACGGGUGAGUAACGCGUAAGGGACUUACCUGCAGGACUGGGGUAACAGGGGGAAACUCCUGACAAGACCGGAUAAUGUCAUGGAGCUGCAUGGCUUUAUGAUGAAAGGAGACGCCUGCGGAGAGCCUUGCGUACUAUUAGCUAGGUGGUGGGGUAAUGGCUCACCAAGGCGAAGAUAGGUAGCCGGCCUGAGAGGGUGGACGGCCAAAAGGGGACUGGGAGACGGCGCUGACUCCUACGGGAGGCAGAAGUGGGGAAUAUUGGACAAUGGGGGGAAAGCUGAUCCAGCAAUUCUGUGUGAACGAAGAAGGUUUUCGGAUUGUAAAGUGCUUUCAGCAGGGAAGAAGUAAGUGACGGUACCUGCAGAAGAAGCGACGGCUAAAUACGUG